This 206-nucleotide ribosomal RNA is filed under the name uncultured bacterium. RNAcentral's name for it is "partial 16S ribosomal RNA". It matches the Rfam family "Bacterial small subunit ribosomal RNA", at positions 568 to 773 of the family's 1533-position model. The record is from RNAcentral.
CUCGUAGGUGGCCAACUAAGUCAGACGUGAAAUCCCUCAGCUUAACUGGGGAACUGCGUCUGAUACUGGAUGGCUUGAGUUUGGGAGAGGGAUGCGGGAUUCCAGGUGUAGCGGUGAAAUGCGUAGAUAUCUGGAGGAACACCGGUGGCGAAGGCGGCAUCCUGGACCAAUACUGACACUGAGGAGCGAAAGCCAGGGAGCGAAAC